Artibeus jamaicensis (Jamaican fruit-eating bat) is the source of this 101-nucleotide small nucleolar RNA. RefSeq annotates it as small nucleolar RNA U13. Lineage: Eukaryota; Metazoa; Chordata; Mammalia; Chiroptera; Phyllostomidae. The transcript has a single exon. The record is from RefSeq and is a predicted model, not a curated record.
ACCCUUCUGUAGUUCCUAAGUGUGAUGAUUGGAUGUUCACGCUCUUGUGUGACAUGAGCCUCCCACAAACCUUGUAACAUCGGCACACUACCCAUCUGACA